GGCUUCGUAGCUCAGCUGGUAGAGCGCUUGCCGUGUUGAGGCAUGCCGUGUUUGUCACUGGUUCGAAUCCAGCCGAAGCCC
Molecule: transfer RNA, 81 nt
Filed under: Paragonimus westermani
Lineage: Eukaryota; Metazoa; Platyhelminthes; Trematoda; Plagiorchiida; Troglotrematidae
Description: tRNA-Asn
Rfam family: tRNA
About the family: Transfer RNA (tRNA) molecules are approximately 80 nucleotides in length. Their secondary structure includes four short double-helical elements and three loops (D, anti-codon, and T loops).
Source: RNAcentral